AGCGAACGCUGGCGGCAGGCCUAACACAUGCAAGUCGAACGAACCUUUCGGGGUUAGUGGCGGACGGGUGAGUAACACGUGGGAACGUGCCCUUAGGUUCGGAAUAACUCAGGGAAACUUGUGCUAAUACCGAAUGUGCCCUUCGGGGGAAAGAUUAAUCGCCUUUAGAGCGGCCCGCGUCUGAUUAGCUAGUUGGUUGAGGUAAUGGCUCACCAAGGCGACGAUCAGUAGCUGGUCUGAGAGGAUGAUCAGCCACAUUGGGACUGAGACACGGCCCAAACUCCUACGGGAGGCAGCAGUGGGGAAUCUUGCGCAAUGGGCGAAAGCCUGACGCAGCCAUGCCGCGUGAAUGAUGAAGGUCUUAGGAUUGUAAAAUUCUUUCACCGGGGACGAUAAUGACGGUACCCGGAGAAGAAGCCCCGGCUAACUUCGUG
Molecule: ribosomal RNA, 434 nt
Filed under: uncultured bacterium
Lineage: Bacteria
Description: partial 16S ribosomal RNA
Rfam family: Bacterial small subunit ribosomal RNA
Source: RNAcentral